This 3066-nucleotide ribosomal RNA is filed under the name Triticum aestivum (bread wheat). RNAcentral describes it as "partial small subunit ribosomal RNA". The record is from RNAcentral. Lineage: Eukaryota; Viridiplantae; Streptophyta; Magnoliopsida; Poales; Poaceae.
AUGGAUCCUUUGGAUUAUCUUUCAAUCAGGUUUCAUUUCGGAGGGGAAUUUCACCAUGAUGGUACAGAGUGGCAGUAUUUGGGUGGUACACAUGGCAUGUCCAUGGUUCAUCUGUCAAAAUUGAGCCUCGAAGAACUGAAAAACAAUCUUGCAGACCAUGUUAGAUGUUCAGAUAAAGCACUAAACAACAGUACACUGCAUUGGAAAUUUCCUGGUCUAAUAAGAGAUGGUGCAAUGAGUAGUGCUCUGGUGAUGUUACAUGAUCAAAAAUCAGUGUUAGAGAUGGCAAAACAUGCCACUGAUGCAGGUGUUAUGGACAUAUAUUCCAACAUACCUGAUGACUUUUCACAGGAUGAUUAUGCAGAGGAACAUCAACAUCACUUAGAGGAGGAACAAGAACUUCAUGGAGAGGACCAGCAGCAACAUGUACAAGAGCAGCAAAAUAAUCCAAAUGCAGAUGAACAUAUAUUAGAACCAGAAGCUUGGCAAUACUCCAAUUUGUAUUACCAGCCUAGCAGUAGCAGUGCUAAAUUGCCAGUGAAGAGAGGUAGCAGCCAUAUGCAGGACAAAGGGAAAUCACAUUUAGAUGAGGAUGAAGAAGUACACACUGAAAGUGAUGGCUCAUCUGACAGUGACUAUGCUAUUCCCCCGGCAGAGAGCAAUAGCUCAGCAUCUGAUGAUGAAGUGCUAGAGUUGAGAAAAUAUGCUAAAGAAUUGAAGGACAAAGUGAGAAAGAACAUGCUGAGAGAAGAGGAGGGCAAACCAUGCAAUGUGCCUGAAGAGUAUAUUGUCCCAGAAACAUUUAACCUAGAUGAUUCAGAUGGAGAAGACACACCAUAUUUUGAAAGUGAUGACGACUUGUCAUAUGAUGAAGGUAGUGAUGGAGAGAUAAGUGAAGUUAGAAGGAGGAAAACAACACACAGAGUUUAUGAUGACAGUACUGACAAACCAGAAUUUGCUCUAGGCAUGGCAUUUCGUGAUAGCAGGGAAUUCAAACAGGCACUGGUUAAGUAUGGGCUAGCAAAUUUCCACCAUUUAAGAUUUCCAAAAGAUGAAAAGAAAAGGGUCAGUGCAGAAUGUUCCUGGCCUGGUUGUCCUUGGAGCAUCUAUGGAUCCAUUAGUAGCAGAUCUGAUUGGUUGUUAGUUGUGAGGUAUAAAAAUGAGCACACAUGUAUUCCUAGGAGGGACAACAAGCUUGUCACAAGCACGGUCAUUGCCAAAAAGUAUUUCAGACAGAUCAGGCAUAAUCCUACUUGGCAUGUAGAGCAUAUGCAGGAGGCAGUACUUGAGGAUCUUCUAGCCGAUGUUAGCUUGUCCCAGUGCAAGAGAGCAAAAAAGUUAGUCAUGGAAAAGCUCACUGAUUUGACUAAUGGUGAGUAUUCUAGAGUCUAUGACUACCACUUAGAACUAGUGAGAAGCAAUCCUGGGAGCACAGUGGCGGUGACUCUAGAUCCUGAAAUUUUUGACAAGCCAGUUUUCCAAAGAAUGUAUAUUUGUCUUGAUGCCUGCAAAAAGGGUUUCCUAGCUGGGUGUAGAAGAGUUGUGGGUCUAGAUGGGUGCUUUCUGAAGGGGUCAGUCUCAGGCCAAAUACUAUGUGCUAUUGGUAGAGAUUCCAACAAUCAGAUGUACCCCAUUGCUUGGGCUACAGUUGAGGUUGAAUCAUAUGACUCAUGGUACUGGUUCCUAUCAUUUCUUCAGAAGGAUCUUCAGAUAAGCAACAAUGGAGAUGGAUGGGUCUUCAUAUCUGACCAACAGAAGGGUCUUAUCAGGGCUGUCAAUGAAAUUGUGCCUGAAGCAGAGCAUAGGAUGUGUGCUAGGCAUAUUUAUGCUAACUGGAGAAAGGUGCACAGAGAUAAAAAACUGCAAAAGAUGUUCUGGGCAUGUGCCAAAUCAUCUGAUGUUACUCAAUUUAAUUACAAUAGAGCCAAACUAGCCCAAAAAAGUGUGGAAGGAGCUAAAGACAUCCUGAAAACUGCACCGGAGCAUUGGAGCAGGGCCUACUUCAAGCUUGGUUCUUGGUGUGACUCGGUAGAGAAUAAUCUGUGUGAAUCAUUCAAUAAUGCUAUAAUGAAGGCAAGGUUCUUUCCUGUUAUUACAACAAAUGAGAUUAUUAGGAAAAAGGUCAUGGUAAGGAUCCAGGAAAAUAGAGACAAAUCUAACAGUUGGCCUGGAACCAUUUGCCCUAAUGUUUUCAAAAAAUUGAAGUUGAACAUCAAGAGGUCAGGACUAUGUCAGGUUCUUUGGAAUGGGAAGGAAGGAUUUGAAGUUCAAGAAGGUGUGCAUCGGAGGUACACAGUUAACUUGGAGGCAUGGAAAUGUUCUUGCAGAUAUUGGGAACUGGCUGGUUUGCCCUGUCCUCAUGCUAUCAGUGCAAUUUACACAUGUGGUAAAAAACUAGAUGAUUAUAUUGCUCCAUGCUACUCUAUCUCUGAGUACAACAAGAUUUAUGACCAUGUGCUGCAACCAGUGGAGGGAAAAGAGAAUUGGCCAGUUGCUGACAUGCCAAAACCUCAUCCUCCUCCUCAUAGAGUGAUGCCAGGAAGAAAAAAGACUAAAAGAAGAAGAGAAGAGGGUGAGAAACCUCAGGGGAACAAGCUUUCAAAAAAAGGCAUAAGAAUUUCAUGUUCUGUUUGUGGGAGCUUUGAUCACAACAAAAGAAAGUGUUUGGGAAAUCCAAAUAGAGAUAAGAAGCAGAAAGAUAACUACAAAAGAGCAGCACAAAGAGCAAGAAAGAAGAAGCAAAAGGAAUCAGAAAUCAACACUCAGGUGCCACAACCACCAAAGAGGACAAACAAUGCAGUAUCAUCAUCUUCUAGAGCACCGCCUAAUCCAGCGAAGAGGGCAAAGAAGCAAGCACCUCCAGCAAGAUCAUCUUCACAACAAGCACCUCCAGCAAGAUCAUCUUCACAACAAGCUUCUCAACAUACUGUAGACAGAAGAAGCAGGAUGAGGAGUCAGAACAGAGUAGGUUCAAGCUCACAGCCCGCUCCAGGAAAUUCAAGCUCAAUUCACAUGCAAGUGCCAACUACUGACAGGCUGCAAUGGCUCCUAACUGGAGAAAGGUGA